GGCAUGGUGGCUCAGUGGUUAGCGCGCCCGCCUCACAAACGGGAGGUCGUGGGUUCGAUCCCCGGCCGAGUCA
RNAcentral lists this transfer RNA (73 nucleotides) under Strongylocentrotus purpuratus (purple sea urchin). RNAcentral describes it as "tRNA-Val". It matches the Rfam family "tRNA". Rfam says of the family: Transfer RNA (tRNA) molecules are approximately 80 nucleotides in length. Their secondary structure includes four short double-helical elements and three loops (D, anti-codon, and T loops). Lineage: Eukaryota; Metazoa; Echinodermata; Echinoidea; Camarodonta; Strongylocentrotidae. The record is from Rfam by way of RNAcentral.